GCUGUUAUGGCAGAGAGAAAUAAGCAAGUUGGCCGGUCGACAGGAUUUAGGUAGAGGUAAAGUGUGGAAUGAGUGUCAGUUACCCAUCAUGCAAUACACACUCGUGUCACUUCCGGAUCAUUGUUCUGUAAAGGGGAAACCCUCAUCAUGGCGGCUGAUGGUGAACCUGUGUAUUGUUUAUGUCGCCUGCCUUAUGAUGAUACGCGGUUUAUGAUCGAAUGUGACGUCUGCAAUGACUGGUUUCAUGGAAAUUGUGUGGUGUCCCAGA
Octopus sinensis (East Asian common octopus) is the source of this 268-nucleotide long non-coding RNA. RefSeq lists it as uncharacterized. NCBI's taxonomy places the organism in Eukaryota, Metazoa, Mollusca, Cephalopoda, Octopoda, Octopodidae. The record is from RefSeq and is a predicted model, not a curated record. The transcript is spliced from 3 exons.